Molecule: long non-coding RNA, 728 nt
Filed under: Triticum aestivum (bread wheat)
Lineage: Eukaryota; Viridiplantae; Streptophyta; Magnoliopsida; Poales; Poaceae
Description: long non-coding RNA (TAES_LNC021697)
Source: RNAcentral
UUGAAUCCAAAUUCACAGAUAUUAGUAUGACACAAGUAAGUUCUCUUGCUGCUUUUCAUCUUUUUCGGAGCAACAACAAACUGACUUUCUCAUUUUUUAAAGUUUGUUUAACAAGACAUACUCUCUCAUUUCAAUAGGACAAGAUAAUUCUUCAAAUACAAGCUCAGAAAUUCUACGCGAAUAUCAUUCGGAACUCAGCACCUACUCUAAAGACCUAUGUAGAUGACAUGCAUACUUCAUUGCUCAAGACGUGGACAUCUUCCAGCAGCCCAAACCUGCAAUUUAAAUCAUCAGUUUCGGAUAAAACAUUCAAAGUUCCUAACACUAAACAAUUGUUGGCUAUAGAAUCACCUCCAAACUUCCCAAUGCUAACUGUUCCAACAAUCGUUGAUGAAGAUAAAGAAGUCAACAUCAAUGAAAUUCUUCAGCAAUUGGGCAAUCAUUUCAAUCAGUCUUUGAACAUAACCAACUCUAAUUUCUCUCUAUCUUUUAAUGGUAAUCUACCAUCUUUCGAAGAGCUUGCUUGUCCGGAAUUAUUUGUGAAGACAUCAAGUCGAAAAACAAUACCUCCCACGAUGUUUCAGAAUUGUUGCAUCGUAAGUUUUGCUUUCAUAGCUCUUCUAAGCAUGUUUUUUCUCUGCACUCAAAUAGAACAUGAAUUGAGUAAUGACACAUUUUUUCUACAGGAUUCUUGUCUGAAUCAAAACCCGCAAAACAAAGAGUAGAAG